RNAcentral lists this ribosomal RNA (253 nucleotides) under uncultured bacterium. Its description in RNAcentral is "partial 16S ribosomal RNA". It matches the Rfam family "Bacterial small subunit ribosomal RNA", at positions 524 to 776 of the family's 1533-position model. The record is from RNAcentral.
UACGUAGGUGGCAAGCGUUGUCCGGAUUUACUGGGCGUAAAGAGCGCGCAGGCGGUCGUUCAAGUCGCGUGUGAAAGCCCCCGGCUCAACUGGGGAGGGUCACGCGAUACUGAUCGACUCGAAGGCAGGAGAGGGUAGUGGAAUUCCCGGUGUAGUGGUGAAAUGCGUAGAUAUCAGGAAGAACACCCGUGGCGAAGGCGGCUCUCUGGGCCGAUACUGACGCUGAGGAGCGAAAGCGUGGGGAGCGAACAGG